RNAcentral lists this ribosomal RNA (253 nucleotides) under uncultured bacterium. Its description in RNAcentral is "partial 16S ribosomal RNA". It matches the Rfam family "Bacterial small subunit ribosomal RNA", at positions 524 to 776 of the family's 1533-position model. The record is from RNAcentral.
UACAGAGGGUGCAAGCGUUGUUCGGAAUUAUUGGGCGUAAAGGGCGUGUAGGCGGUUAUCUAAGUCUUCUGUGAAAUCUACGGGCUUAGCCUGUAAAGUGCAGAGGAAACUGGGUGACUAGAGUGUCGGAGAGGGCAGGGGAAUACCCAGUGUAGAGGUGAAAUUCGUAGAGAUUGGGUGGAACACCAGUGGCGAAGGCGCCUGCCUGGCUGACAACUGACGCUGAGACUCGAAAGCAUGGGGAGCAAACAGG